Molecule: long non-coding RNA, 578 nt
Filed under: Gossypium raimondii (Peruvian cotton)
Lineage: Eukaryota; Viridiplantae; Streptophyta; Magnoliopsida; Malvales; Malvaceae
Description: long non-coding RNA (GRAI_LNC003033)
Source: RNAcentral
GCGUAGAUGAUAUUUUUAUUUUAGUAAAAUUUUGGUGGAGUUAGGAGUCUAAGGUAGUUGGAUGUGAGUAGUGUGUCGGAUUUGGUGGGAUAGGGGUGUUAGUGGUUAGUGGGGAUGUUGGGAUAAUAUUUGAUAAUAUUUUUUUAUUUUAUUUUACCUUUUCUGUUUCACAUUCUGAUUUUACUUUUCCUUAUUCUUCUUUCUCUUUUUCUUUCUGCAACAUUUUCUUUUCGUGUUAUUCUUUCGUUAUUUUGCUUAACGAAUUGGUCGUCUUAAUCAUGGGAGAUCAACGUUCCAUCUACUCUUUGUUCAUCGUGGUAAGUUUGUAAGUUGUUUUCGGUUGGAUUUCUUUGUUAGUCUAGCGCGUGGGUGUUCUUAUUAGGGGGUUUAAUUUUUUGUAAAGGUUGUGUUAGAGAAGGUAGUGUAGCAGCUGAUUUCACUCCAACUGCCUGAUUAUGCGUGCGGUCGUAUUAGUUAGCGGUAAGUGUGUGCGCAUUGUUCGAUUUAGUAUUGAUGCAUUUGUAAUUUGUUUGCUCAAAAGGUGUUCGGUAUUCUGCUUUUAUGUUUUGAUGGUCUUG